UGAACACCUGAACUGGAAAGCCCAAAAUCACAUUUCUGACAACACAGAAGCUUCUGUGAAGAUUCAGAUACUCAGAGACAAUGAAGCUGCAGUUCCUGGCUUGUGUGGUCUUCUUCUGCCUCCUGGCACUGGAGAACUCCAGGGCAAAUCUAGCUAAGGACAGUAAAGAAGAUGUAGACAAUGAUCCACAUAAUCAUGAUGAUGAUGGUGGUGACAAUGACAAUGAUGACAACAAUGAUAAAAAUGACGGCAAAGAUGAUGAUGAUCGCAGUGCUGCAACUGAUAAUGAUGAUGGUGAUGAUGAUGAUGAUCACAGGGAUAAGUGAGAUGAAGAUAAACAGGGAGGGGCACUGAGCAGGAAGAUCAGCAGGAAGAUGCUUGGAGAAUGAUGACCAACCAAUCCUUGGAAACCUGGAUUUCAUAACAGAAAAGGGAUAUUCUCUACCAGAAUUCAAAUGCUUGUUUAGCUUAUUUAUGCAUUGUUGUUGCUCUGUGAUUUGGUACAUGAGGGAUACUUCAUGGUCACUGAAUUAAACAGUUGCAUCUACCGAUCAUCUGAUUAAACCUGAUAGCAAAAAGUUAUGCAAAGGGA
Molecule: long non-coding RNA, 592 nt
Filed under: Pogona vitticeps (central bearded dragon)
Lineage: Eukaryota; Metazoa; Chordata; Lepidosauria; Squamata; Agamidae
Description: lncRNA (ENSPVIG00000001346.1)
Source: RNAcentral